GCCCAGACUCCUACGGGAGGCAGCAGUGGGGAAUAUUGCACAAUGGGGGGAACCCUGAUGCAGCAAUGCCGCGUGGGUGAAGAAGCACUCCGGUGCGUAAAGCCCUGUCAGCAGGGAAGAAAAUGACAGUACCUGACCAAGAAGCCCCGGCUAACUACGUGCCAGCAGCCGCGGUAAUACGUAGGGGGCAAGCGUUAUCCGGAAUCACUGGGUGUAAAGGGAGCGUAGACGGCUGUGCAAGCCUGAAGUGAAAGGCGGGAGCCCAACCCCUGGACUGCUUUGGGAACUGUACGGCUGGAGUGCAGGAGAGGUAAGUGGAAUUCCUAGUGUAGCGGUGAAAUGCGUAGAUAUUAGGAGGAACACCAGUGGCGAAGGCGGCUUACUGGACUGUAACUGACGUUGAGGCUCGAAAGCGUGGGGAGCAAACAGGAUUAGAUACCCCAGUACU
RNAcentral lists this ribosomal RNA (448 nucleotides) under uncultured bacterium. RNAcentral describes it as "bacterial SSU rRNA". It matches the Rfam family "Bacterial small subunit ribosomal RNA", at positions 329 to 794 of the family's 1533-position model. The record is from RNAcentral.